RNAcentral lists this transfer RNA (73 nucleotides) under Planctomycetota bacterium. RNAcentral's name for it is "Planctomycetes bacterium (groundwater metagenome) tRNA-Arg". It matches the Rfam family "tRNA". Rfam says of the family: Transfer RNA (tRNA) molecules are approximately 80 nucleotides in length. Lineage: Bacteria; Pseudomonadati; Planctomycetota. The record is from RNAcentral. RNAcentral also lists the same sequence under 3 other names.
GCGCCCGUAGCUCAACGGAUAGAGCAGCGGACUUCUAAUCCGCAGGUUGCAGGUUCGAGUCCUGCCGGGCGUG